CGCAUCUGUGCAUGCAGCAUAUCAAUAAGCGGAGGAAAAGGCUGCGGAACUGAACGACCGCUACCUACGCUUAGGAUGUUGACGAGACUGUCGAUCUCAUCUAUACAUGACUCUGUGCAUAUCAAUAAGCGGAGGAAAAGGGAUGUUGUACCUACGCUUAGGAUGUUGACGAGACUGUCGAUCUCAUCUAUACAUGACUCUGUGCAUAUCAAUAAGCGGAGGAAAAGAAACUAACAAGGAUUCCCCUAGUAACGGCGAGUGAAGCGGGAAGAGCUCAAAUUUGAAAUCUUAAAGGGUUUCCCUUUACGAAUUGUAGUUUAAAGAAGUGUUUUCUGUUGAGGUUUUGGUAAAAGUUCUUUGGAAUAGGACAUCAUAGAGGGUGAGAAUCCCGUAUUUGACCUUUACUUUCAACUUUGUGAUACACUUUCAAAGAGUCGGAUUGUUUGGGAAUGCAGUCCAAAAUGGGUGGUAAAUUUCAUCUAAAGCUAAAUAUUGGCGAGAGACCGAUAGCGAACAAGUACCGUGAGGGAAAGAUGAAAAGAACUUUGAAAAGAGAGUUAAACAGUACGUGAAAUUGUCAAAAGGGAAGCGUUUGACACCAGUGUUGUUUUUCUGAAAAUCAAUUAAAGAACUGUUUAUGCUAAGCUGUUUAGACUUUAUCAGCUAUCUGUUUAGUUUUGAGCUUUUCUUUAAUGCACUUUUCAGUUAACAAGUCAACAUCAAUUUCUUUUGCUGUAAAAAAGCUUGAGGAAGGUGGCUUGAGAUUCGUCUUAAGUGUUUAUAGCCUCUUGCCUAUGCAGUCGGAGAGAUUGAGGUCUGCAGCGUAGAUCCUUCGGGGCUAAAUGCAUUUGUGCUAAGUUAUAGCAUUUUAUAGACAACUUGUUGACUAUGAUUUGUCUUGUAGCUUACUCGCUUAUGUUAUUUUACCUACGCUUAGGAUGUUGACGAGACUGUCGAUCUC
RNAcentral lists this ribosomal RNA (961 nucleotides) under uncultured Neocallimastigales. RNAcentral describes it as "partial large subunit ribosomal RNA". The stretch from base 179 to 961 matches the Rfam family "Eukaryotic large subunit ribosomal RNA", at positions 1 to 647 of the family's 3401-position model. The record is from RNAcentral. Lineage: Eukaryota; Fungi; Neocallimastigomycota; Neocallimastigomycetes; Neocallimastigales.